ACCUAGGCUUCGGCCUAGGGGAAAGCGGCGAACGGGUGAGUAUCACGUGGGUAAUCUGCCCUCGACAUCGGGAUAGCCCGGGGAAACCCGGAUUAAUACCGAAUGGCCCAUCCGCUCUUCGGAGCGGCUGGAAAAGGUAGCUUCGGCCUCCGGUCGAGGAGGAGCCCGCGGCGGAUUAGCUUGUUGGUGAGGUAAUGGCUCACCAAGGCGACGAUCCGUAGCUGGUCUGAGAGGACGAUCAGCCACACUGGGACUGAGACACGGCCCAGACUCCUACGGGAGGCAGCAGUGGGGAAUCUUGCGCAAUGGGCGAAAGCCUGACGCAGCGACGCCGCGUGCGGGAAGAAGGCCUUCGGG
This 357-nucleotide ribosomal RNA is filed under the name uncultured bacterium. RNAcentral's name for it is "bacterial SSU rRNA". It matches the Rfam family "Bacterial small subunit ribosomal RNA", at positions 71 to 422 of the family's 1533-position model. The record is from RNAcentral.